Triticum aestivum (bread wheat) is the source of this 2204-nucleotide long non-coding RNA. RefSeq lists it as uncharacterized. Lineage: Eukaryota; Viridiplantae; Streptophyta; Magnoliopsida; Poales; Poaceae. The transcript has 10 exons. The record is from RefSeq and is a predicted model, not a curated record.
GAUCUACGUGCUGGUUGGGACAAACAGACCGUGUGCGUCCGUGUGUCUCGCCUAUGGCAUUACCGUGGUGGUUUAGAGAAUGGACCUGUCAAGCUUCUGCACAUGAUCCUCAUCGACGCUCAUGGUAACCAUGGCUAUGCAGUUGUUCCGACAGAUUUUCUUGUCACUUAUAUUGAUAUGCUGCAUGAAGGCGUGGUGUAUGAGUUCAGUCGUUUCAGCGUGAUGUCUUCAUCAUGAACCCCGUCGAUGCGUCGUUGAUGAUCCAAUUUACACAAUUUACAAUUGUGAAGAAUUUUUUCGAUCUGAACGACGUAUUUCCGGAGUGGGCAUUCAACCUGACCCCACUAAAUGAAUUACCCCUUGCAAAUGAUACUCCCCAAGCCUACAUAGAUGUUAUCUGGGUUAUCACGGCGAUUUCUCCUGUGAAAGCCACUCGGGUGCCCAAUACUCUUAGACAAGUAUUCAGGCGCCGUCUGAUCCUCUCUGACAAUAAUGGCCACGAACUUGGAAUAACCCUUUGGGGUGAGAGUGCUAUUCGAUUUAAUGGAGAGAGUGUGCAUUUCAUGGGUCAAACAGACCCGGCUAUCGUUAUUUUUGUCGGCACCACCGUUUGUAUGUAUGAAGGGUCCAAGGAAUUAUCUGGUGGAUGUGCUUGCAAAUGAUAUGUUAACCAUGAUAUACCAGAGAUAAACAUAUUUAGGAGCAGGCUCCCAGUCAUCUUCCCUGCCAUUGAGCAUCUUCCUGCACCGUCGAAGAUUAUUCUCCAGGUCCAACAUGCCGAUGUGCAUCCAAUGGUGUUAUUGACCCACCUCAUAAACAUCAACUUAUAUCAAAAGGAGGGUUUCACAUUUGAAAAAAUGGUGGGCUACCUUCUGUGCAGACUGCCAUCACAUGUCCAUGCCAGCUACAACAUCGCUUACCCAGCCAGAUGUUUAUAUGUGCUCUCGUCGAUCUUGUUCAUGCACUAGCGCUACAAUUGGAUGAGAACAAUUCAAUGUUAUAUCAAUCAAUGGUCAUUUGCUCUCCCUGCUCAUUUCAUCUAUGUUAAUGUUCAGGUACACAUUGUUUGUCCAUCUAUGUUAAUGUCCAUCUACAUUUGUUUCCUUCGGUGGAUCUCCAGCUCAGUUUCCCCUUUCCAGUCAGCGCCGCCUCUAGGGUUUCACCUUCUCACCCUCCUGAUGUCUUGUCUGGCUCUGUCCGAUCUACGUGCUGGUUGGGACAAACAGACCGUGUGCGUCCGUGUGUCUCGCCUAUGGCAUUACCGUGGUGGUUUAGAGAAUGGACCUGUCAAGCUUCUGCACAUGAUCCUCAUCGACGCUCAUGGUAACCAUGGCUAUGCAGUUGUUCCGACAGAUUUUCUUGUCACUUAUAUUGAUAUGCUGCAUGAAGGCGUGGUGUAUGAGUUCAGUUGUUUCAGCGUGAUGUCUUCAUCAUGAACCCGGUCGAUGCGUCGUUGAUGAUCCAAUUUACACAAUUUACAAUUGUGAAGAAUUUUUUCGAUCUGAACGACGUAUUUCCGGAGUGGGCAUUCAACCUGACCCCACUAAAUGAAUUACCCCUUGCAAAUGAUACUCCCCAAGCCUACAUAGUUUGCGCAUUUACUUGUGUAGAUGUUAUCUGGGUUAUCACGGCGAUUUCUCCUGUGAAAGCCACUCGGGUGCCCAAUACUCUUAGACAAGUAUUCAGGCGCCGUCUGAUCCUCUCUGACAAUAAGUAUGUAAUCUGAUCUGUUAUAUUUGACCGUCGUUCUCUUUUUCCUGUUGUCCAUUUUAUUAAAAAAGCUUAUAUUGAAUCCUCUUCUGCCAUUUUAUUCUCAUCUUACAUUAGUGGCCACGAACUUGGAAUAACCCUUUGGGGUGAGAGUGCUAUUCGAUUUAAUGGAGAGAGUGUGCAUUUCAUGGGUCAAAUAGACCCGGCUAUCGUUAUCUUUGUCGGCACCACCGUUUGUAUGUAUGAAGGUGACUAGGAAACAACCCGAUGAAUGUGCUUGCUUGUUUCCCGCUGCCUUCGAUUUAUUUAAUGGUAUUAUUAUUUGUCAUGAGCUAGGGUCCAAGGAAUUAUCUGGUGGAUGUGCUUGCAAAUGAUAUGUUAACCAUGAUAUACCAGAGAUAAACAUAUUUAGGAGCAGGUGAGGGCCACGGUCUAUUCAUACGGCGUUUGUUUUCUCUAUUUUGUACUCAAGUAUUGUAUUCUCUCUGCUUCUU